UAUAUAUCUAAGUGUUACAAGAUACCACCCCUGGACGAAGGAAAAGUACUUCCAAAGAAGAUGCCACAUCUACAUAUGAGACAGAUAAGGCAAAUGAAAAUGAUACCACACUUCGGCACUGAGAAGUUUCGUGAUUACUCAAUGGCUUGGAUCUUGCAAGUCUUCAACCGAAGAGCUUCCCUUACUUGGGAACUUAGGGGAACACUGUUUGUACCAUACUUGACCAAUCCCGAAACUACUGAGCACCGGUCAACGUUAUUGAUCGGAUCAUAUUUAUAUAUAUUUUUACUUCAAAUUCACUCGUCUUUUCUUAGUUAGUUCCUUAUAUUUUUGAGCUAUUUACGUUAUUUUUGUGUUUAUAAGAUCUGUUAUGUAAAGAAAACAAAAAUAGCACAAAUAAGAUCUAUUUACGUUAUUUUCAUGACUGCUUUCUUUUAUUUGCUAUUGUCAAUUUGCUGAGUUAUGCUUUCCAUAUAUUUAUUUUAAGCACCACAUGAUUUCAGGUUAGUGCUUGCUUGCACACUGGAAAACUUGCUGCCUUGGUAAUUUUGGUCUCUGGAGGAAUUGUAUUACAAAUUUUGGCAGUGUGGUUGGUGAAGCAAAUAGAAAACAAAAAGAAUAAGCUGAUGGGGCGGAAAGGAGAGCACAUACAAAGGUGGAAGGCUACUUUGCAGCGUGGUGAUAGUGGAAGAAAGAAAAAAAUAAUAUAAGCUGCAAGUGCAGCAUGGUAAGUGAGUUUUGCGUGGAAGCGUAGGGAAUAAAGAGAAGCAGCAAAGCUGCUUGGAGGGGGGGCAUUUUUGUGCAGUGUGUGUGUGCUGCCUCUUGGGCAGUACCUGGAGGCCUCGGGGAAAAAUAAUAGAAGGCUGCCUUUGGGCAGCGUGAACCAGGGGGGGGAGAGGAAAGAGCUGCCUUGGCAGCACAAGAAAGAGGCGCGGAGAGAGAGGGAGGACGGACCGACAGGAGGUCAGGGCGCAAGAGAAGGGGACAGUUGCAGAAAAUAAAGGGAGGACAGAAGGCUGGCAGCACAGCUGCCUUGCGGCAGAAGGAGAAAAAGAAAAUAUAAAAAAGAAAGGUCAGCGAGGAGAGAAGGGAGAGACGCAGAGACUGGCGGGGAGAGAGGAGAGCUAAGCUGUCCUUGCAGCUUUGAACCAACACGUGCAGAGAGUCCAGUGGAGCAGCAGAAGGCGGGAACAGAGAGCAGAAGGCUUCAAUUUUCUCUCUCGGUUAAAUCUUUCCAACUUAUGUUUUACUUUCGGUUUAAUCUUUCCAAACUUCUAUUUUAUUUCUUGUAUUAAUAAUGUGUAAAUAAAACUUAUUUUGGCUAGAGGUUAAUUCAAAGCCAUGAAUAUAUUUGUAAUAUGAAUUGAUUACCUUCAGUUGUGAUUUCUGAGUUGUGAUUUAAUUUUGCUUAACUGCUUGAUAGAUAACUUAUUUUUGUAUGUCGAUUAAGGAUGCAUACUUAAUUUACAUGCAUGAAUUUGAUGCUAGAAUAUAAGUGAAUUUCACCUAAUCGUUAUGAACUUAUAUUCACAAGUAGUGAAGGUUGCUAGUCACAAUCACGUUAAGUAAAUUCUUGGCAUAAGUUUCAUGCAAAUCAUAGUAACGAGUGUCUCGUCAAUGCUUAUGUUUUUCAUAGAACUUAAUGAUUCUUGCUUGUAUCUCUAUUAUGCAAUUCAUGUAGGGAACUUGUAGGGAAUGUUUUGGGUUGUCGUAUGCAAUCAUCCAACCCAAUAACUUGUGGAAAACUAAGGGUUAAAAAAAGUGCUGUUCACGGUUAAUCUGGAGUAUUGAAAUUCACAAUUUAUUGAAAGAACAACUGAAAAUCAAUUUAGGUUGCAUAUGUGUCAUGUGUAGAGAAAAACCCUCUAGCUAGUCUGUCAUUUAUCAUUUUACCUUAAUUUUAUGUUUUUGUCAAUUCUGUAAUUUAAUUAAGUUUAAUUUACUUUUCAUCAAAACCAAACACCCAUCCAUUAUUAAAUUAUAUUAUUUAGUUAGUUUUCUUUAUUGUUAGUCUUUUAAUUUAAUUUCCGUCCAUUUCAGUUCCUAGUGUUUAAUUUAAUUGUUUUCAUUAUUUUGAGUCAUUUUAAGUGUGUUUCGAGUUAUUAGAGUUUUUAGCCUAGUUUUGUGUCCUUGAGUCUUAUUUAAUAUUUUUAAAUUAAUUUAGAAUAGAUUAGCAAUCCCUCCUAAUCCCCGGCCUAGAACGAUACCCUACUUACAUCUAUACUACAACUGUCAAAAAGAGGAUUUAAUUUGUGUGUCAAGUAAUUUUCACAUCAAAAUUUUGGCGCCGUUGCCGGGGAUUAGCAACUUUGCUAAUACUUUUAUUUUUGUUUUUUUGUUUAUGUUUAUAUUGGUGUUUGUGUAUUUUACUUUUGAUAUUUGAUUUAUUUUUCUUUCUUUGAUUUUAGGUUCAAAUGGAGCCGAGGGAAAUUUAAAGGAAAGAUGCGUCCCGCUAAAGACGUUAAAUCAAGCGCUUCUUGGGAGGCAACCCAAGCAUUCAACGAAGGGAGACUUUGGAAUCGCUAACCCAAUCAGAUUUGCAUUUUUACACCCUUAUCUUUACUGCUUUCAUUUUGUUUUGUUUAGUUAGUUGUGUUAUUUGUUUGAUUUCUGUGAGUUUGUGUUAUUUAGUUUAAGUGUGGGGGAAGGUUAACCAAAGUCUUUCUACUUUAAUUUACAUAUAAAAAAAUAAUAAUAAUAAAAAAAAUAAUAAUAAUAAUAAAAAAAAAAGAUAAAAUUUAAAAUUAAUGAUAAAAAAAAAUAAAUAAACACUUAAAAAAAAAAAAUUUACAUAAAAAAAAAAAAGUACAAAUAUUUUACAAUGAUGUAAACUAAUAGUAUUCAUUGGUCGGGUGGUGCUUCAGUAGUAGGCGGGGCUUCAGCAGUCGGCGGGGCCACAGAAGGAGGAGGCGGCAGAAGUUGAUCAGUUGGAGCUUCACUACGCGGUGCCGCUCCAGAAGACGAAGGCAGAUGUUGUUGGAACAAACCCACAAACCUCCGAUGAUCAAGUAAAAUUUGACCAUCGGUGUCCUGCAUCUGGUCAAUCUUCCUCUUCAUGCUGGUGGCAUAGCUGUGUGCGAGCUUGUGCAAUUGUUUAUUUUCAUGCUUGAGUCCUUUAAUCUCCUCUUUGAGACUCUGUAUUUCAGCCACCAACGAUUCAACGUGACGGGUUCUGGCAAAUAGGCGUUGGGCCAUGUUGGACACAGACCCCGCACACUGCACGCUAAGAGCCAGAGACUCCUUAACCGCCAAUUCAUCAGACCGUCUAGCGAGCAGUCUGUUAUCUCUGGGAGUGACAAGGUUUCGAGCCACCACCGCAGCGGUCAUGUCAUUUUUCAUCACCGAAUCCCCAACGGUAAGAGGACCGGUAGGGGAUAUGAAAGAUGGGCGCCAUAUGUUGUCUGGUGAAGGCGGAGCUGCCUCUUAACCAAUGUUCAAGUCAAAACGACGAUCGGAAGGGCCAGACAUUUUCUGAAGGUGGUGAAGAAAGAAGAGAGUCGGACUGAUUAAGAUUUUGGAAGUUUACAGGAGGGAGUGUUUACAGGAGGAAGCUCAAGUGUGUUGUGGAACAAAAUUAACGCCUCUAUAAAAAGAAGAAAUCAAAGAGGCGCUCCUCAGAAAUCGAAGAAGCGUCCUCUCGCAAAUCGAAGAGUUGGGGCUCCGUUCUCAAAAGCCGGAUUCUUUUCUCAAAAGAGGCAUUUAAUUUCUUAAAAGUUGGGCUUGCUCAGAAACCACGUGCUGAACCCCAGAUUUCGCAAGAUCAAUUCGUCCAGACGUGUUGUCACCCGUCACACGCAAACUCAGCUCUGCGAAAAUCACGGGCAGUCUGUCGAAGUGCCGAUUCCAACCAUCUGUCUCUCUCAGCCUAGUCAGCAUUUGUCACAUGCAACUGGCAGCUUUGCGAAAAUUACGGGCAGCUUUGUCAGAAAGCGCGUAAUUUGUACUAUUCAUCCAUCCACCGGCUGCCGACAAUGAGUGAGAGAACAAUUCCGGUUGUGAAGACAAGUCCUAUAAGUUUCUACCUUCGCCUUCCACAGCAAAAGCACACUCUCUCAGCACACCCUCUCAACACUUCUUCAUCUCCGAAAAUGCAUUCCCAAAGAAUCCUCCUAAGUUACUCAGUGUUCCUCAUUCCUUGGGAUACUCUUGCGAACAACCCAUCCAAAGCAAAAGUAUUUCAUAUCAUGAAGGUUGAAAGCAAGAGUAUCUCAUAUCAUGUAUUUUCCAUGUCCUUUUCCUUGUCUUUGUUCUAACCUGCAGGACAUGGAGAAAUUGCUCUCGAGUACUCGUCUUCCACUGCUGAUGUACUUCCAAAGAAGCUGCCACAUCUACCUGAAGAACAGAUAAGGCAAGCGAAAAUGAUACCAACAGCAUGUGGAGACAACGUACAGAAGAAACAAGCAGAGAAGAUGCAGCUUGCACAAUCAUCCCAGCGGAAGGAGUCCGAGCUGAAGAACUAGAGAAGCUGCCACAUCUGCUUGGAGAACAAAUAAGGAACUGCAACAUAACCAAAGAGCAAAGCUUCGCCGUACAAUAUCAUCAAAUCAUCACUUGCAAGUAAAAAGCUAAGUGUCACCCAGUUCAAGAGGAAAGCUGUGGAAAGUCAACAAGCACGACCAAUGAUCACUUAUUAGUUCUAUUCAUUGUCUUUUAUCGUGAUUUUCAAUUUUUCGUUUGCAAUUUUUAUUUUUUUAUUUUUUUAUUUUUUAAUUAAUUUUUUUGUGUUACUUAACUGAAUUAUUUCUUUUCUUUGCAGGAACUUUUGGUUAUUUCCACCCUUGAAGUUGAUUGCAGAAUUUUAGCUUGGGGGUCAUCGCUUGAUUUUACUGCAAAUUAGGGAAGUUUUCAGUCCACUUGUUUUAUUUUGUUUCUUAUUAUUUAUUUUAUUUUUAUUUGCAUUAUAGUGUUUUCUGACAUUGGGGACAAUGUCCAGUUUAAGUUUGGGGGUAAAGAGUAUAAAAAAUGAUCAAAUUGAAAUUUUUUGUACCUUCAACUACGAACGAGUUUCAUUUGUUUCCAUGUUGUUGCUUUUUGUUUUCAUAAAAAAAAAAUAUUUAAAAAAAAAAAAAAAAAUUUAAAAAUCAGAAAAUUUAAAAAAAUCCAAAAAUAUUGUCUUGUUUCCCUUAUUGUUUUGAAUUAGAUUUUUGUUAGUUUCCCGACCCAAUGAUAUAAUUAGAUCGAAUUUGAAUCAUGAUUAUCAAGAACUUAGUUAACAUGUGUUUUGUGAAAUUCCUAAUUCUCUUGUUAGUUUUGUACAUGUUUGAUCAUCUUUGAAAAACCAAAUGCACAUAGCCUUGUUGAUGUGAAACUAAAGUAUGAAUUAAAGCUUCAUAUGUGAAUUUAGUGACCAUAUAUAUCCUAUGUGAGUUUUUGAGCCUAUUGAAAGUGUGUGCAUUUUUCAUACACUCCUAUUCUUUCAUGUGUGAUGAACUUAUGUGAAAUACAUCUCUAGAACUUGCGUAACGAUCUUUCGAAAUGUUUGUCAUUUAUUGCAUGAACUUGGAAAUGAUAGAGGCAUUAGGUUUACCACCAUGGCCCAAAUAACGAUGUAUCCCAAAGAAAAAAAUGAUAUCAUUAGAUUGCCAAUUUGAGCCGUGUAUGUUGAGCCUUUUAUUUCUUAUCACCAGAUAUGUCUACCCUUAUACCUAAAACAUUUUUCCUUACCCUUUCCAAGCAAGCUAGUGAGCAAUGUGAGAUUGUCUUAUGAGAAAUGUUUGUGAAGUACUUUGAGGGUGUUGGGCAAAAGAAUAAGUGUGGGGGUAUUUCAUGUUUGUAUUAAAAAAAAAAAAAAAAAAAAAAAGAGAAAAGAAAAAGAAAAAGAAAGAUUGUAUACGAAGAAAAGAAAAAGAAAAAAUGUUUUUAAAGUUUCAGUUUAAGGGUGUGAUUGGAGGUUUCAAAAGAAUCGUUGGAGAGCUUGAGUUCUUAUAAAUCUAGACAAAAGAAUUGCUUGCAAUGUAGCUUGGAACUUGUGUUUUCCUAUUCUUUCAUUUCAAUAACCCUAUCCCUAAGCCUCAUUACAUCCAAUAAAAGUCCUCUUGAUUUAAGUUUUGCAAUUAUGACUGUGGAGAAGUGAUCUUUAUGCAAGCUUAUGGUAGAAAUUUCACAUUUGAUUCUUUGAGCGAAACACAUUAAAACUAAACACAUGUGUGAUUGAGUGCAUAUCCCGUGAGAAUGUCGCUAGUUUGCAUAUGAUGAUUUUAAAAAUAUAAAAAUUUUGAAAUUGCAUUAGCAUGGCUAUCUCACACACUACACUUCAAGGAUGAUUCAAAGAUUACUGCUAAUAUUUGAAUAAGGAAGAUGAACUUGGAUUAGUUCCUUGAUGCUAGCUAUGGUUCUUGAUGAUUUGUUUUCUUAAAUGAAAUUCUAUGAGGGUCGCAUAGGGGGAAACUAAUGUUUUUCAUGUUAGUACUUUUUCAUGUUUUCUUUGUUUUGCUCGAGGACUAGCAAAAGCUAAGUAUGGGGGUAUUGAUCGGAUCAUAUUUAUAUAUAUUUUUACUUCAAAUUCACUCGUCUUUUCUUAGUUAGUUCCUUAUAUUUUUGAGCUAUUUACGUUAUUUUUGUGUUUAUAAGAUCUGUUAUGUAAAGAAAACAAAAAUAGCACAAAUAAGAUCUAUUUACGUUAUUUUCAUGACUGCUUUCUUUUAUUUGCUAUUGUCAAUUUGCUGAGUUAUGCUUUCCAUAUAUUUAUUUUAAGCACCACAUGAUUUUAGGUUAGUGCUUGCUUGCACACUGGAAAACUUGCUGCCUUGGUAAUUUUGGUCUCUGGAGGAAUUGUAUUACAAAUUUUGGCAGUGUGGUUGGUGAAGCAAAUAGAAAACAAAAAGAAUAAGCUGAUGGGGCGGAAAGGAGAGCACAUACAAAGGUGGAAGGCUGCUUUGCAGCGUGGUGAUAGUGGAAGAAAGAAAAAAAUAAUAUAAGCUGCAAGUGCAGCAUGGUAAGUGAGUUUUGCGUGGAAGCGUAGGGAAUAAAGAGAAGCAGCAAAGCUGCUUGGAGGGGGGGCAUUUUUGUGCAGUGUGUGUGUGCUGCCUCUUGGGCAGUACCUGGAGGCCUCGGGGAAAAAUAAUAGAAGGCUGCCUUUGGGCAGCGUGAACCAGGGGGGGGGAGAGGAAAGAGCUGCCUUGGUAGCACAAGAAAGAGGCGCGG
Molecule: long non-coding RNA, 7143 nt
Filed under: Malus domestica (apple)
Lineage: Eukaryota; Viridiplantae; Streptophyta; Magnoliopsida; Rosales; Rosaceae
Description: long non-coding RNA (MDOM_LNC018311)
Source: RNAcentral